CUGCUUGCUUUGGCAGCAUGUUUACUAAAAUUGGAAUACUACAGAGAAGAUAAGCAUGGCCCCUGCAAAUUCGAGAAACGUUUUGUAUUUUU
Small nuclear RNA from Tursiops truncatus (common bottlenose dolphin), 92 nucleotides. NCBI's taxonomy places the organism in Eukaryota, Metazoa, Chordata, Mammalia, Artiodactyla, Delphinidae. The record is from Ensembl.